UAGAAGGGAUGUUUAAACGACUUCAUCCGAGGGAACAACUUUAAUUGUGGUGGAUACUAUGGAGGCAGAGGUGGCCACAGAUGUUGUUACAAGGAUGGCUACAUCAGAAGAGGGCACUAGUCAUGAAAACCCAACUGACCUUACCAUCCUCACUCGUUUCCACCCAAUAAAAGAACAAAGACUUAUUGACCGUAGGAGUGAUGUUUAAAUAGUUUCAGAGUGUAGAGAAAGCCUUCAGAAAGGAUC
This 246-nucleotide long non-coding RNA is filed under the name Glycine max (soybean). RNAcentral describes it as "long non-coding RNA (GMAX_LNC003451)". The record is from RNAcentral. Lineage: Eukaryota; Viridiplantae; Streptophyta; Magnoliopsida; Fabales; Fabaceae.